Molecule: ribosomal RNA, 468 nt
Filed under: uncultured bacterium
Lineage: Bacteria
Description: partial 16S ribosomal RNA
Rfam family: Bacterial small subunit ribosomal RNA
Source: RNAcentral
GACGAACGCUGGCGGCGUGCUUAACACAUGCAAGUCGAACGGAAAGACCCUGCUUUUUUGGGCUUCUCGAGUGGCUAACGGGUGAGUAACAAGUGUGUAGCCUGCUCUUGACUUUGGGAUAACUUCAGGUAACUGCGGCUAAUACCGGAUAGUAACUCCUGCUGAAUGGUGGGGGUUGGAAAGUUUCGGCGUUCGGGGAUGGACUCGCGGCUAAUCAGCUUGUUGGUGGGGUAGUGGCUUACCCAGGCUUUGACGGAUAGCCGGCAUGUGAGGGUGGACGCGCACAAUGGGCCUGAGGUACGGCCCAGACUCCAAUGGUGGGCAGCAGUGGCAAAUCUUGUGCAGCGAGCGGACGCGUAAGGAGGCAGCCCCGCGUGCGUGAUGACGGCCUUGGGGUGAGAAACCGCGUUCGCCUGAGACGAAGCGUGAGUGACGGUAAUCGCUAAAGAAGCACCGGCUAACUACGUG